Podarcis lilfordi (Lilford's wall lizard) is the source of this 71-nucleotide non-coding RNA. NCBI's taxonomy places the organism in Eukaryota, Metazoa, Chordata, Lepidosauria, Squamata, Lacertidae. The record is from the annotation of a GenBank genome assembly.
GAGGAUAGGUCACUGGGGAGAGCAUGAGACUCUUAAUCUCAGGGUCGUGGAUUCGAGUCUCACACCAAGCA